CCUACGGGAGGCAGCAGUGGGGAAUAUUGGGCAAUGGGCGCAAGCCUGACCCAGCAACGCCGCGUGAAGGAAGAAUGCGCUCGGGUUGUUAACUUCUUUUCUGCGGGACGAACAAAUGACGGUACCUCAGGAAUAAGCCACGGCUGACUACGUGGCAUCAGCUGAGGUCAUACGAAGGGGGCAAGCGAUAUCCGGGAUGAGUGGGUGAAAAGGGCGUGUAGGCGGGAAUGGAAGUCAGAUGUGAAAAUUCAGGGCUCAACCCUGAGCGUGCAUUUGAAACUGGGUUGCUUGAGUGCAGGAGAGGAAAGCGGAAUUCGGUGUGUAGCGGUGAAAUGCGUAGAUAUAGGGAAGAACCCCGAUGGCGAAGGCGGAUUGCUGGACAGUAACUGACGCUGAGGCGCGAAAGCGUGGGGAGCAAACAGGAUUAGAUACCCGUGUAGUC
Molecule: ribosomal RNA, 442 nt
Filed under: uncultured bacterium
Lineage: Bacteria
Description: partial 16S ribosomal RNA
Rfam family: Bacterial small subunit ribosomal RNA
Source: RNAcentral